CCACAGCUUUAUGUACGUUUGUAGAGAGGAGCUCCUAAAUGUUAUAUGGACGUGCAACUCAUUAAAAUCGAACCAAAACAAGAAGAAGAAAUUCAUUCCGAUCUUCAAGAUAACCUCUUAGUAAGCAACGAAGCUUUGGUUACAAUAAAGGAGGAAAUUACCAUUACUGCACAGUGCUCCAAAUUGCUCAAUAAUGAAAAAGUACAACAACAAACUGAAUGUGACUUUGGUCAACACAUAGCAAAUGAAGCCUUUAACUGGGCUCAUUGUGAUUAUGGAACAAAGAAUAAAAAGUUGCUUCAACGGCACAAAUGUAAUGUGCUACAAUGUGGUCACUGUGUUUACAAGACAAAUUUUGAAUCCUACUUAAAACGGCACCUUUUGAAACAUAAGGAGUUGAAAUGUACUAAUUGUGACUACAAGACACAUUACAAAAGCAGCUUUAAACGACACCUUUUAAAACAUACGGAUUCUAAAGAUUUCAAAUGUGUUCAUUGUGAGUAUGGAACAAAUAGUAAACAAUCUCUGAAAGGGCACAUUUUAACCCACAAACUUUCUAGUAAUGUAAAUGUGUUAAAAUGUACUCAUUGUAAUCAUGAGACAACUAACAAAAGCAACUUUAAACGACACCUUUUAACACAUAGUGAUUCUAAAGAUUUUAAAUGUGUUCAUUGUAAUUACAAGACAAAUAACAAAUACUACUUUAAACAACACCUAUUAAAACAUAACAAUUCUAAAGUUU
This is a long non-coding RNA of Photinus pyralis (common eastern firefly), 742 nucleotides long. RefSeq lists it as uncharacterized. The transcript has 3 exons. The record is from RefSeq and is a predicted model, not a curated record. Lineage: Eukaryota; Metazoa; Arthropoda; Insecta; Coleoptera; Lampyridae.